RNAcentral lists this transfer RNA (84 nucleotides) under Felis catus (domestic cat). It matches the Rfam family "tRNA". Rfam says of the family: Transfer RNA (tRNA) molecules are approximately 80 nucleotides in length. Their secondary structure includes four short double-helical elements and three loops (D, anti-codon, and T loops). The record is from Rfam by way of RNAcentral. Lineage: Eukaryota; Metazoa; Chordata; Mammalia; Carnivora; Felidae.
GCCUGGAUGGCUCAGUUGGUUGAGCACCUGACUUCGGCUCAGGUCACCAUCUUCUGGUUUGGGAGUUUGAGCCCCCACUGGGCA